This is a long non-coding RNA of Sitodiplosis mosellana (orange wheat blossom midge), 489 nucleotides long. RefSeq lists it as uncharacterized. The record is from RefSeq and is a predicted model, not a curated record. NCBI's taxonomy places the organism in Eukaryota, Metazoa, Arthropoda, Insecta, Diptera, Cecidomyiidae. The transcript has 2 exons.
CAGUAUUUUAUCGAAAGCCAUAAAAUUCAGCUACCAAUUGACGUUUUGUUUGAUUUCCCAUUUCAAAUUGAAUGCAUUUACUUCGAUUUUAAUACGUACUCACCCAUGAUCAUAUGGCAUACGUGAACAAUAAUCGUCGGUUGAAAUGGGAAUUCGGUGUACCCACACGUGAAGCGCAUUCAUCAUGGAUGAAAAUCACCGUUUACCAGCAAUGAAAUCACAUACACAAAACCACACUCAACACUUUAUAGACAUUCCAAAAAUGAAAGGAUCGCUUUACAACAACGACCGAACCAAAGAAAUGAAAACAAUUUCACCGUAUAGCCAAGAAAUAGAUGGAAAAAACAAGCGGACACACACAGCGAGCGAGCAAAACUAACAAACAAACCGAGAGAUAUGCAUGAAAAAUGCUCGAAAUUGGCAGUUAUAUGUGUAUCGAAAACAAUGGCAGUUUAUUAAAUACAAUUUUGGUAUAAAAUGCAAAUGAUA